UACGGAGGGUGCAAACGUUGCUCGGAAUCAUCGGGCGUAAAGCGCACGUAGGCGGUCCAGCAAGUCGGGUGUGAAAGCCCUCGGCUUAACCGAGGAAGUGCAUUCGAAACUACUGGACUUGAAUACUGGAGAGGAUCGCGGAAUUCCCGGUGUAGAGGUGAAAUUCGUAGAUAUCGGGAGGAACACCAGUGGCGAAGGCGGCGAUCUGGACAGAUAUUGACGCUGAGGUGCGAAAGCGUGGGGAGCAAACAGG
This 253-nucleotide ribosomal RNA is filed under the name uncultured bacterium. Its description in RNAcentral is "partial 16S ribosomal RNA". It matches the Rfam family "Bacterial small subunit ribosomal RNA", at positions 524 to 776 of the family's 1533-position model. The record is from RNAcentral.